AGGGCGAGCAUUUAGCGUUUGCUGUGCGAGGGUUGAAGUGGCACCGGGACAUUGUGAAGUGCCUGGUAUGGCAGGACUUCAAGGGCAAGUCCUGAGACCUCUAGCAGGAGGAGCGGGUGGGUAGUAGUGGUUCGUGUAGAGGCGUGUUGGGCUGUGUAGGUGAGAGCUCAUGGGAGUACACAACGCAGAUAGAGCAAGAACAGCGGGAGUUUCUUAGGCAGCGCCAACAGGUGCGAACGCUGCUGGGGAGUUGGUGUGUUGCAGUGGGAGUUGGGCCAUGCACGUGAGACAGCGAGUGGCUGUACAGGUGUUCGCAUUUGCAGGUUAAAAGAACCGUGCCAUUCGUGUCAAGCAAGUGCAUGGAGUGGGUGGGUGAUGAACUGGAUUGUGGGGUAGAGCUGUGGGCGGGGGCAUGCGUUGGGGAAUCGGUUUUUCUGUGAGGGCGUGUGGGUGCGCUAAGGGCAAGGUAACAAGACAGCGUGGCUGUAGUCAGUUAGCAGUGUAGGGUUGCGGUUGGGGCCGGGCUGCAGCGGAAGUAGAAGUAGGGAUAGCUGCUUAUUGUGGCAAAGAUGCGCGGGAUGUCGUGCUGGCGAAAGCUUGCAAAGGUAGUGGGGUGCUGGAUGAGGCGCAUGAGGCGCAGUGGUGCAUUGGCUGCGGUGCUGGAAUGGACAGGAGGCAGCGAGGGCAAUGACAUGAGAUGAGCGGUUGUAUACAAUGAAGGUGUGCAGAAGUCGCAACGUUGGCAAUGUGCAACAUCAAUGUGUUUGUCGUGGUAUCAUAAGCAGAACUGCGCCAGACUGUGAGCACUGAGACUAGGAAAUGUCAAGCAGCCGCACAGAAGAUACAUCUACGCAACAGCCACAGCUUCUCAAUAGCGCAUUUGCGCGCACUACCAAGCAGUUCAGAGAUGCCUCCGUGCACGCAUGUUGCGCAUCAAAGCCAGGAAUGCAGGUUGGUUCUAAGCAGGGGUGGAGGCGUAAUCAGUCGUGGAGGAGUAAGCAGCAUUACGGCAGCUGCGCCUGCACGGUGGCGCCCGCGAUAGUCCAACGGCUGAUCCGGGCAUGCUGCGGCUCAUAGGGAGCGGGCUGUGCUGCCCAAGCGAGUACGGCGUCCAGCUGCGCUCCGUAGACGACGCGCGCCACAUCAGGCGGCAUGGUCACCUUCAAGGUGCGGGGAGAUGCGAGAGGCACGCAUGGUCAGGUGGAGCGCAAGUGGAGUGGCGGGUGGUGGAUGGCAUGAGCGGAGUCCAGGGAACGCACCAGGGUGCCAUCGUAUGCAGCCAGCGCGGCCGACAGCAAGUAGCCGAUGAGGUUGUUGUUGCUGCAGGCAGACAGGUUUGGAUAAAGCGCAGUGUGGUGAGCAAAGUGGUUGGGUGAUGCGGGGCCGAGGUUGGCAGGUACGUAGCCCAACCCAUAUAGGAGAACGGCUUACGCACUUACUCAAGCACGACUGGCAUGAAGGCGCCAUACACAGGCGCGUGGCUGGUGAAGGCGGCCUGGUCGAUGUUGGAGUUGAGCGUGAGCAUGUUUUGGUCAUGCACCAGAAGCUCGACUAGGAUGUGGAUCAGGAGGGGAGUGUCGGGCGUGACGCCCAUGAUGCCGGUCUCCAUUGUCGCGGUUAUCUCCUCGCCGCGGUUUUGCGCGGCCAUCAGGAACAGAGCACGGCGGCCAGCAGUGGGCUCGCGCAGCUUGUUCAGGAUGGCGCGACGCGAGGUGGGUGUGCGGAGCGAGAGGACGAUCUGAGGCACGGACAAGUGGGGAAGGGCGAGUGGAGAAGCGGGGUGGCAGUGGUAUGUACGGACACCGUGCAAAGCGAGGGAGGCUGGGGAGUGUAGAUACAAUGGUAUGGAGGUGGAGUACGACUAACAGGUUGUUGCAGAGCAGAGCUGCGUAGGCUCACCUGGACCGUGACAGAGGGGCGGCGUACCAGGGCGUUGAGCAGGCCUGCGUAGAAGAUUGGGACGCCUUCGAGCUGUAAGUCACCAUCGUCAUCUCCUGCUGGCGGCUGCAGCAUAGCGCCAGCGAUGGCGGCGGGCGCAGCGUCAGCGGCAGCGGCGGCACCAGCAGUGGCACCGGCGGCACCAGCGUCCUCAGCAAUCGCAGGCAGCGCAGGGUCAGCGGCGGCAGGAGGAAGAUGUGGAGGGAUGACGAUGAGGUUCUCGUUGAACACGGCAUGGAGGGGUGUCAGGAAGUUGAUGGGCACACGAAGCGAGGGCACCUGCAGAGGCGUAUGUGGAAGGCGCGGAAAUGGAUACUUGUCAAUACACGCUGAGGACCCUAAGUGCCGUAUGCAGGCGGAGUGCGUGACACAAGCAGUGGCAGGUGCAAGGUAGGUGCUGUGGUACUUGGUGCCCACCAAUAGCCUGCGGGCAGCGCUUACCAUGUUGGGAGGUGCAGUGAGUACCACCACCGAACGAGGUGAGGUCGCCAGAUUUGCGCCGACUCCCGGGGUUGAACUGUUGGUUGACUCCACCAUGGAGGUUUGUAAUCGUGAUGUGGUGAGGCACGUGGUAGCGGUGCGAGUUGUCUGCUGUGGGCAAGGCAGGUAACCGGCAGUGAGGUGGCUAAGUUGGUAUGGGAUAAUGAAUCGGGCAGGAGGGAGGGCUGGAUAAGAGGUACGUGCAUGGUAGGCGUGCCAGGUCUGCAGGACGAUAGGCAUUAAAGGCCCUGGAGGUGCAGCUGCGGGCCCGAGCACUUACCCAUCACGACGCUGAUGACGUUGAGCACAACGUUGCACCUGUCGCUCACAGCGCGGAUGGUGCCGUCAUCACCUAAGAUAUGGACUCGGUCAGACUGGACGCCCACGGCGUGAAUUGCAGGGUGCGCGGCGUUGGCGGCGCCGGCCAGCACGGUGACCACCCAUCCUGAAAGGCUGUGCUCGCCGGCAGUGCUGGGCAGGUGGGCGUGGGUGACACGGGUAGAGCGCUGAGAUGUGGACUGCAUGCGCUUCUCGAGCGCAGCUGCAAGCGACAUCCCGGUGGGCUUGCUGGGUGGCGUGCUGGACGUAGGGGCCGCAGGCGUGGCGGAGCCUGUAUGCAGGGACGAACGCAGCAGAAGUCGGAAUGGAUAUCGGCAAGAGGACGUGCUGCAGCGCGGCUGUCAGAGCUGUUGUGAAACAGUAUAUACCUCCAGCACCCGUACGGCGAGGCGCUGCCAGAGGGCGAGCAUUUAGCGUUUGCUGUGCGAGGGUUGAAGUGGCACCGGGACAUUGUGAAGUGCCUGGUAUGGCAGGACUUCAAGGGCAAGUCCUGAGACCUCUAGCAGGAGGAGCGGGUGGGUAGUAGUGGUUCGUGUAGAGGCGUGUUGGGCUGUGUAGGUGAGAGCUCAUGGGAGUACACAACGCAGAUAGAGCAAGAACAGCGGGAGUUUCUUAGGCAGCGCCAACAGGUGCGAACGCUGCUGGGGAGUUGGUGUGUUGCAGUGGGAGUUGGGCCAUGCACGUGAGACAGCGAGUGGCUGUACAGGUGUUCGCAUUUGCAGGUUAAAAGAACCGUGCCAUUCGUGUCAAGCAAGUGCAUGGAGUGGGUGGGUGAUGAACUGGAUUGUGGGGUAGAGCUGUGGGCGGGGGCAUGCGUUGGGGAAUCGGUUUUUCUGUGAGGGCGUGUGGGUGCGCUAAGGGCAAGGUAACAAGACAGCGUGGCUGUAGUCAGUUAGCAGUGUAGGGUUGCGGUUGGGGCCGGGCUGCAGCGGAAGUAGAAGUAGGGAUAGCUGCUUAUUGUGGCAAAGAUGCGCGGGAUGUCGUGCUGGCGAAAGCUUGCAAAGGUAGUGGGGUGCUGGAUGAGGCGCAUGAGGCGCAGUGGUGCAUUGGCUGCGGUGCUGGAAUGGACAGGAGGCAGCGAGGGCAAUGACAUGAGAUGAGCGGUUGUAUACAAUGAAGGUGUGC
Molecule: long non-coding RNA, 3882 nt
Filed under: Chlamydomonas reinhardtii
Lineage: Eukaryota; Viridiplantae; Chlorophyta; Chlorophyceae; Chlamydomonadales; Chlamydomonadaceae
Description: long non-coding RNA (CREI_LNC000223)
Source: RNAcentral